GCUAUUGGAGUUCGAUUAAGCCAUGCGAGUCGAGAGUCUUAGGGACUCGGCGUACCGCUCAGUAACACGUGGGUAACCUGCCCUAUGCUGGGGAAUAACCUCGGGAAACUGAGAAUAAUGCCCCAUAGUCCACAAUGCCUGGAACGGUUUGUGGAUCAAAGCUCCGGCGGCAUAGGAUGGGCCUGCGGCGUAUCAGGUUGUAGGGGGUGUAACGUACCCUCUAGCCAUCAACGCGUACGGGUGUUGGGAGACAUAGCCCGGAGAUGGAUUCUGAGACACGAAUCCAGACCCUACGGGGUGCAGCAGGCGCGAAAACUUGGCAAUGCGAGAAAUCGUGACCAGGGAACUCCAAGUGGCUGGGGUAAGACCCAGUCUUUUCUUGACUCUUCAAAGGUCUUGGAAUAAGGGGUGGGUAAGGACGGUGCCAGCCGCCGCGGUAAUACCGGCGCCUCAAGUGGUAGUCGAUUUUAUUGGGCCUAAAACGUCCGUAGCCUGUUUGGUACAUUCGUGGGUAAAUCAACCAGCUCAACUGGUUGAAUUCUGCGAGCACGGCCAGACUUGGGACCGGGAGAGGUGUGGGGUACGCUCAGGGUAGGGGUAAAAUCCUGUCAUCCUGAGCGGACCACCUGUUGCGAAGGCGCCACACUAGAACGGAUCCGACGGUCAGGGACGAAGCCCAGGGGCACGAACCGGAUUAGAUACCCGGGUAGUCCUAGGUGUAAACGCUGUGGACUUGGUGUUGGGGACUCUCCGAGAUUCCUCAGUGCCGAAGCGAAGGUGAUAAGUCCACUGCCUGGGGAGUACGGUCGCAAGGCUGAAACUUAAAGGAAUUGGCGGGGGAGCACCGC
Molecule: ribosomal RNA, 848 nt
Filed under: uncultured archaeon
Lineage: Archaea
Description: bacterial SSU rRNA
Rfam family: Archaeal small subunit ribosomal RNA
Source: RNAcentral